UUACAUACACACACAUACACACAUACAUACACACACAUAAACACACACACACAUACACACACUUACACAAACACACCCACACAGAUACACACAAGUAUAAGAAAUAAAUUACGAAAUGGCAACGCUGUUAACAAUCCACAAGUGUUCUAACAACUUGAAACAUUUGUUUGCGAUGCACUUCAUUCAACAUACGCUUACCAUCGUUCAGCAUUCUGUCUUGGUUCGAGCUUACUUCAACAGCUUCACGAUCUCCAAAGGCUUUGAAACAUGAGGACGAUUUUGCUGAUGACACUCCUAAUACUGGUUGGGACCACUGCCGGCUGGUCAGUGUUCGAUUCUGGCAGCCAAGCAGACGCCAGUGA
RNAcentral lists this long non-coding RNA (362 nucleotides) under Penaeus japonicus. RNAcentral describes it as "uncharacterized LOC122245509". The record is from RNAcentral. Lineage: Eukaryota; Metazoa; Arthropoda; Malacostraca; Decapoda; Penaeidae.